Molecule: ribosomal RNA, 404 nt
Filed under: Fusobacteriota bacterium
Lineage: Bacteria; Fusobacteriati; Fusobacteriota
Description: Fusobacteria bacterium partial 16S ribosomal RNA
Rfam family: Bacterial small subunit ribosomal RNA
Source: RNAcentral
UGGGGAAUAUUGCACAAUGGAGGGAACUCUGAUGCAGCGACGCCGCGUGAACGAAGAAGGCUUUCGAGUCGUAAAGUUCUUUUAUAUGGGAAGAUAAUGACGGUACCAUAAGAAAAAGCCCCGGCUAACUACGUGCCAGCAGCCGCGGUAAUACGUAGGGGGCUAGCGUUGUCCGGAAUUAUUGGGCGUAAAGGGUGCGCAGGCGGCUUUACAAGUUGGAUGUGAAAUAUUGUGGCUCAACCACAAACGUGCAUCCAAAACUGCAAAGCUUGAGUUAAGGAGAGGUAAGUGGAAUUCCUGGUGUAGCGGUGGAAUGCGUAGAUAUCAGGAGGAAUACCGGUGGCGAAGGCGACUUACUGGACUUAAACUGACGCUCAGGCACGAAAGCGUGGGGAGCAAACAGG